UGGGGCGUGGGGUAAUUGGCAGCCCGACGGAUUCUGGCUCCGUUAGUCUAGGUUCGAGUCCUGGCGCCCCAG
Molecule: transfer RNA, 72 nt
Filed under: Actinomycetota bacterium
Lineage: Bacteria; Bacillati; Actinomycetota
Description: tRNA-Gln
Rfam family: tRNA
About the family: Transfer RNA (tRNA) molecules are approximately 80 nucleotides in length.
Source: RNAcentral